Molecule: long non-coding RNA, 39043 nt
Filed under: Brassica napus (rape)
Lineage: Eukaryota; Viridiplantae; Streptophyta; Magnoliopsida; Brassicales; Brassicaceae
Description: long non-coding RNA (BNAP_LNC011777)
Source: RNAcentral
AAUGGUCCCAAAGCUGUUAGACCCAGACGGCUUAGACGAGUCAACUGUAAACGUUACCUCAUAAGAUUUCUUCUCGUUUACUUCUUUAAAAUUCAAAACCGCCGGUUCAACCGAAAUCUUGAGUGCUGUUGUCUCCGACGUUACUUUAACCGAGUAUGACCCAGCUCCUCCAACGUUUGUGACCGUGCGUGUGUACUUGUACGUGUCGGAGCCGUCGACGUUAACGGCAAAAGACGGAUAGUUUAGAUCAGCGACGGAGUACGUUUUGCUUGGGUCGCAAGCGUAAUUGCCUCUCGAUAUGAUUCUGAUCAGCGACGAAUUGUAUUUCAAUGCGCAGAGGAAACCUAAAUAAUCGGCCGUCGUUAGAUCGUAGAUGAGUCCUGGAUUGACGGCAGUCGUCGGUGACACGUGUCCUGCACCGUGCCCGAACGGCGUUGAAGGUUUAACCGUCGCGAUGUCAAUGAUCGGUUGUUCGUCUUUGUAGGUACUGUAAGCAGUGGUCAUGAGAGCAGAUCGAAUCGCGGCCGGGCUCCAUUCGGGAUGCACAGACUUGAGAAGAGCCGCUAAACCGCUCACGUGAGGGCAAGACAUGGACGUUCCUGAGAUGAUGUUGAAUUCCACGCGGCGAGUAUCGGAAGCUAGUCCGGAAGGUCCCACAGCUCCGGUCCACGCGGCGAGGAUAUUGACUCCCGGAGCGAUCAAGUCCGGUUUGAGAAUGUUUGGCGUUAUCGGAUUAGGUCCUCGCGAGCUAAAUGCUGCAAGCACAGGAGACGGCCGGACGUUGACGACCGUUCCUUGGAACACAAUCGAAGCGGUGGGAUUCGGAUCGGUCAAGGCGUAGUGGCGGAUAAUGUCACUGGCUUUCUCUCCCACAGUAGUCGCUGGUAACAGAAAAGCAUUUGCCGUAAGCUCUUCUCCCUCGUAGGCCGUAUUUGCAAGAAUCAUUCCGAGUCCACCCGCAGCUUUCACUACCUCCCCUUUCUCAACCCUAUUCCCUCCUUUCUCGCACAUAACGAUCUUCCCCUUUACCUUCUCGGGAAUUAGUGUUCCGGGGAAACAAAAAUUUCCAUAAGUAGCAUUGUUACUAGCAUUCCCAGCGUAAACAAACGGCAACAAUUUAGAGGGAAGGGCGUCUCCUUUAAACAAGGAAACUCCAGUAUAUUUGUUCCCGUUGCCGAGAAUCACGAGCGCGGGGAAAUCACGAUCUAAUGUACCAGCACCAACCGUAGUAAUCCACGGAGCUACGUUCGCUACACUGAACGAGAAGGGGCCAUUAUUACCAGCAGAGCAGGAAACAAAGAUCCCGCUUUCCAUGGCCGCGAAUGCUCCAAUGGCAGUAGCAUCUGUAUAGCCUGUCCUUCUACCGCUGAGCGAUAUCGACAGAACGUUGACAUUUUCUUCAAUGGCUUUAUCCAUUCCAGCUAAAAUAUCUGAGCUGAAGCAACCAGUUUUCCAACAAACUUUGUAAGCAGCCACUCGAGCGCGAUAAGCAAUCCCACGGGCUGUUCCAUUAGCGAAGCCUAAAAGAUUAGCUCCUUCCACGACUGAUCCCGCUGCGGUUGACGCCGUGUGUGUUCCGUGACCUUCGUCAUCUCUAGGCGAUUUUGACUCUUUGGAUUCGUCCACUGGCCCAUUAAUUGCUUCGUAACCCCGAACGAAGAAUCUAGCUCCGAUUAGUUUGCGGUUACAGAGGGACGUGGUGAAUCUAGUCCCAGCGUCGCAGCCGCCUUUCCAUGUAGGAGGAAUGGGGCCGUAUCCUUUGUCGGAGAAGCUUUUGCUCUCUGGCCAAACACCGGUGUCGAGAACUCCAACGACGACGUCGCUAGAUGGACCGGUUUCAGGGAAUAGGCCUGCGUUGUGUACGUCGAGCCCGAGGAACAGUGGAGUACGAGUGGUGUGUAACUCGUACCGCUGCUCUGGUUGAACCGAGAUGACACCGGGUUGGGUCAUCAGCGAGUCGGCUUCUUCAGGAGUAAGCCGAGUGGCGAAUCCAUGAAUUGCGUUGUUGUAAGUGUAGAGCAUUUCAGCAGAUUCUGAGACUGAGCGGAGUGAGGAAUCGUACCAGAGAGAGUGGUGGUCGAAGCUCGAGGGCAUCUGAGAUUUAGCCAUGUGAACGAUGUAAGUAGCUUGUUGAGCUCCAUCGGAGACGUGGAAGGAACUCAGAUAGAGUAAAACGAUGAAGAAAAAAGAAGCAGUAGAUGAGAGAAACGAAGAAGACAUGUUUUGUGAGUUGUGUGGAAAAUGUGAAGAUGUGCGAGAGUUUAUAUAGUCGAGAAAGAGAGUGAGGAGAUACUAUUGUUACCCAGUAACUCGGUUCACUGGCCAUAGGCCAAGAAUUUCGGGUUUAAAUACCGAUAUUUUAGCAUUAAAUCCAAUUGUUUUGUGUCCACUAUUCUGCUUCGAAAGUGAUCGCAUUUGUUUUUAUCUUUUUGAUUUGUCUCUAACUCUAAUUUUAUUUUCUUCUUAAUUUUAAUCUUUGAAGACUUCCGUGCACAAAGACAAAAAACCAAGACUUUUGUUCCCAUAAUUUCACCUAUGCUAAACAUGAAAUAAUAUAGAGAAAAAGACAAAAAUAGCACUAAAUCAAGUUUUUGUUUACAAACUAGCACUCAAGCUCAAAAGUCACAAAAAUAGCACUUAAUGUUUUAUCAAAAGUCACAAAUUUAGGGUUUAGAGUUAAAGGGUGGGGUUUAGGAUUUAGGGUUUAGGGUUUAGGGUUUAGAGUUUAGGGUUUAAGGUUUAAAUUUUUAAGGUUUAGGGUUUAGGGUUUAGAGUUUAGGGUUUAGGGUUUAAAGUUUAAGGUUUAGGGUUUAGGGUUUAGAGUUUAGGGUUUAGGGUUUAGAGUUGAGAAAUGAGGUUUUGGGUUUAAGAUUUCAAAUUUUGAAAAAUAAAAAAAUUAAAAUUUUCAAAGGAUAAACUUAAAAAGGUGCUAUUUUGGUCAUUUUAGUUUUUGAGUGCUAUUUUUGUGAUAUAAACUUAGAAAAGUGCUAUUUUGGAGAUUUGCCCAAUAAUAUAUCCGUAUAGUAUUAUCUCGGGGUUAUUAUUGGUUUAUUAUCUUGAGAUUUUAUGUUUCUGUUUAGUAUUAACGUCUUAAACUAUAAUAUUUUCUCUAACUUGUUUAGUAUAACGUCUUUGAAGAUUAUUCGAUGAUGUAGUAGUCAUGUAAAAUCCAAUUUUCUUUUUAAGUAUAUCUUGUUUGUAUGUUUACAUUAAUGAUUUCCACAUGCACAUUUGGAUUUCUCUCUAAAUUUAUUUUUGUAUUUUUCGUGAAUUUUAAGGUUUCCAGACUUCUCUUCAUCGAAGACAAAAAAUAAAGACUUUUCUUCACAUAAGUUUACCUAUGUUCAACGUCCAAUUACACUAUUUGCAUAUACUUGUAUAAUCUUGAGAUUAUUAUUGUUUCAUUGUAUUGAGAUUCUCUAUUUACGUUUAGUAUCAACCUCUUUAACUCUGAUAUUUACUGUGGCUUGUUUGAAAUUAUAAAGAUGGUUUAUGCAGUUGAGACUUUUUACAACUUGCAACAAAAGAAAGUUUAACUGGAUCUCAUUUUCUCCCUCUGAACUAAACUACUACUAGGAUAAGAUCCGCGCCUUGCGCGGGAUUAAGUUAUUAUUUUUAUUAUAUUUUGGAGAAUGAAACAAUAGUUUGGCUUCAUUUGGAUUAGGGGUGUUCAAUCCGGAUAUUGGGUUGGUUUCGGUUCGGUUCGGUUUUUUUUUGUAUUUCGGUUAGUAAAAUAUAACUAUUAUUCUAAAUCCAUAUUUACUUUGACUUUAGUCUUUCACAUACUUUUGAAAGAUUUCAACUGGACGACUAAAUUGAUCAGCUAAUCUUGUUGCUUUAAAUCAUUAGUAUUUAUAUAUAUGAGUGAGGAGAAAUUACUAUUACACUCUUGUAUCCAAUAUUCUGCUUUGAAAGUGAUCACUUUUGUUUUUCUUUUUGAUUUGUCUCUAAAAUUUAUUUUGUUUUUUAGGUAAAUUUUAAUCUUUGUAGACUUCUGUUCAUCAAGACAAAAUAAAGACUUUUGUUUACAUGAUUUUAGCUCUGGCCAACAUGAAAUAAUAAUAUAUCCAGUUUCACUAAUUACUAUAAUUAACCACAUUGGAUAUGGUCGAAUGGUAUGACAGACUAGGCAAAAUGCUAACCACUCCAGAUUCAAAACUACCAGUAUAGAGUAACCGCACUAGUCUAUUAACAAGAACAAAUUACUAUACUUUGGUAUUAUCUCGAGACGAUUACUGAUUUAUUUUCUUGAGAUUAUAUGUUUUUGUUCAGUAUUAACCUCUUUAAUUCUGAUAUUUACUGUGACUCAUCUGAGAUGAUAAAGAUUGGUUAUAGUUUUGAUAAAAUCAUCAUGCCAUGAGGGAUUCAGAAAACCUUUAUGAUGUUCAAAUAGCAUUAACACUAAUAAGUGAAUAUAGCCUUUUAAUAUUUAACUAGGUGUUUGCCCGCAAUUUUACGGGUAAUUAUAUUAUAUGAAGAAAUAUAUAUUAAGUUUACAUUGUUAUGAUUUUUGAAUAAUAAUUAAAAUUUUAGAAUUUUAAUUUUUAAUUUCAAAUAGUUGGAUAUUCAAAAAAUUUAGUAUAUAUUUUUAGAAGAUCAUUGAGAUUUAAAAUAGUUCAACAACGUAAACCUUAGUCAUUACAAAUAUUUCUCUUAUAGAAAAGCAAUAUUAUAAUUAAUUCAGAUAAUUGGUUGUAGAAUUACUUUAUAUUUUAUUUUAAAAUGUGAAAAAACCGGGCAUAUUCUAGCUUUCAAAAAAUAAAAAUAAAAAGAGUUUUUUUUUUGUGUAGGACCAAUACAAUGAUCGGAUGCUUUUAUCAUGAAGAUAUUUUGUAAAUAUUUUUGUGUGGACUUUAGAAACCAUAAAAAGUUCUAAUAAUUUUUUACCUACAUAUAUAAUUAUUUUAUAUAAGAAUAUAUAACCAUAAAAAUUUCAAUAAAAAAAAGUUAAAGUAUUUUAUUUAAUUAUAUAUAAAUAAUUGAUAAAGAGAAAGAAAUUGAUAAAAAAAUAUAUAUUAUUUCUCCAAUUCUACAAUUAAUUACCAUAAAUCAUUAUUUGUAAUAUUACAUGUCUUAUCUGGUAAUUUAUAUUAAUUAUUUCUAUAGUUACCUUUUAUUUUUAGAUCUGAUUAAAAUAAAUAACUAAUAAACGUCAACAACCAAUCAAAUUAUAACUUUUUAAAAAAACUUAACCUAUUAACAAUAUAUACAAAAAAAAUCACUUAAGUGACUUCUCAAUUAAUAUAUAAUAUGAUUUAUCUCUUUAAAACCAAGGGUAAAUUUGGUUAAUGUUUACAUGAAAACAUGUAUUAGGAAAAUGGUAAUCUAAGUAAUUUUUCUCAUAAUUUUGUCAAAUUACAAAUCACACUUUCUCAUUCAUUUUUUAUUUAGUGUUUAACAUAAAACUUCAAUGGGUUAAACAAACCAUUUCUUCCUUUAAAACACACCCAUUUUAAUUAAAUUUGAUUAAUUAAUAAGAAAAAAAAUAAUUUUUAAAUUUUUAAAUAACAAAAUGUUGUUAUUUUAGGCAUAUAUACUUAAUAUUAAUGUGAGAUCCAAUAUUAUAUCAAAAUAAAAUAUUUUUAUCUGUAUAAAACUAAUUUUAUUAUUGUACAUUUUAAAAGUUAUUAUACCGCAAAAUAUAUAUCUCAUUAUUUUUAAAUAAUUUAUCUUACUUGCAAUUUACAUUAUAUUUUCUAUCUUUGACUUUAACAAUUGUAGAACAUGUCAUUUUAUUAAUCUUUCUUACUCAAUUUAUCACAAUGUUUUAAAAACACAUAAAACUAAUUAAUUCACAUUUAUAGUAACACAAAAAAUACAUGCAUCUCGACAGACAAAAAAAUUAAAUACAUAAGAAUAUUUUCUUUUUCCGUCAAAAAGCCGUUCUAUUACUCAGACUUGAGGUGGUCUGGGUAACCAGACCGGAAUAGAAAUACACAACAUACAUAAGAUUAUAAAAGAACCAAGAACACAACAAACAUAUUUUAUUAUUCUUCCCUCCUGUUUUUAUGUCUCCUUUAUUUUUUUUACUAUUCAAAACAAACAUGCUAAUUUUAUUAUAAUCAAAGCUAUAUGAAUUAUUUUAAUAGAGUAUUAACUCUAUGAAAAGCAUGUGAAAAAUACUUUGAUUAAUUUAAUUUUAAAUGACUUACUAUAUCAUAAUUUUACAUGAAUUACCAUAUAAUAUAAUUUUAAGUGACUUACCAUAUAAUAAUUUUAAUUCACUUGUUUAUAUUAAAAGAUGAAUUAAAUAAUAUUUCUUGAUUAAUAUAAUUUUAGAUGACUUACCAUAUAAUUUUUAUGUUUUAAUCAUUUCUAAAAGUGAUAACUUAUCUAUGAUCAUUGGAAAAUGAUGAGAAUUUUUUAAAAUUAUAUAUUUGACUAUUUUGCAUUCAUUUGAAACAUUUUAGAAUAUAUAUAUAUAGUAAAUGAGUGAAUUUAAUUAAUAUUAUUAGGUUUACGUUAAUUAGUUUUCUGGAAUCUAUGAUUUAUUGUAUUCACUACUAAUAUAAAUAUAUUUAAAACCAUUUUUGUAAUUGUUUCUGUAGUAUCAUAUGUAUUUAAAUGUACAUUAUCAAUUUAUAUAAUUUAAUCUAUGAUAUUUAAUUAUUUCUAUAAAUAAAUUAUAUUAAUUCAUCGAUAUUUAAGAUGUUUAAUUGUAUAUUUGGAAACAUAUAUUAGAUUAGGUAAUUCUAGGAUUAGUUUUCUUUUAAAAAUUUUAAUUAAAUAAAUAAAAAAUUAAAAACCACCAACCAAUCAAAUUAUAACAAUUAAUUGGAAAACUCUCAUAUGAGCGACACGUCAGCAGAAAUCACUUAAGUGACUUCUCAAUUAAUAUAUAAGGGACUCUAGAAGAUUAUUUGGUGGUGUAGUUGUGUAAAAUUCAGUUUCCUUUUAAGCAUAUUUUUUGUAUGUUAGAUUGGUUUUCCACACACAUUUUGAUUUUUCUCUAAUAUUUUGGCUUUUCCCGUAAAUUUUAAGGUUUUCAAGACUUUUCUUCAAAGAGGACAAAACUUAAAGACUUCUGUUCACAUAAGUUGACCUAUGUUCAACAUGAAAUAAUAUUAUCCAAUUACACUGAUUACUAUAUUUUAGUAUUAGCUCGAGAUUAUUACUGUUUUAUUAUUUUGAGAUUCUCUGUUUUUAUUUAGUAUUAACAUCUUUUAACUAUGAUACUGACUGUAACUUGUUUUAUACUAUAAAGGUUUAUAUCUUACAAUAUUAAAAGUUGUAAAUCCUCAAUAGAGAGAGUGUCCACAUCACCUAAAAAAUCCGCCAAUGAGAAAGUGUUGUUUUGCCACGUCAAACCCGUUCCUUAAAAAAUUGCAUUAAAACAUUUCGAUUGAACCCAUUAACCUAAUUUCAUCGCAAGCCGUCUCUUCCGCUUCGUCUUCAUCGUUACAGCUUUCUGCAUUUUCUUCUGUUUCUCCACUUUUGAUCAUUCAUUCCACUUCUUUAAUUCUAUCUGCGUGAGCAAUGAUAUCCUUUCAAAUUCCUCUCUUUCUCCAACUACAUAAACUCAUCUGUCUGUUGAAGUUUUUUACCGAACCAAAUUCACUACAAGAAUUUACUUAAAUAGCUACUGAUUAUUUUGUAGCUAUCACAUACAAUCUAUAGCUAAAAUCAGUUUAGCUACAGAUGGCAACAAAUUAAAUCCCUGGCCUCAGCUCCCACGCUAAACAAAAUCUCUAGCCAUUUUGUAGCCAUUUAGCAAUGAAUUAGCAAGAGCUUUUUCUGUAGCCACCAGCAACAACAUUGCUACAACUUAUUUUAUUGCUAACUAGUGACAAGUAUAGCUACAAAUAUUUUGUAGCCACAUUAUAAUUUUAAAACUUUAAUUGAAAUUUAAAUAUAAUUAUUUAUUUAAAAUUAUAGUUAAUUCUCAAAAUGAAAAAGUGUCAAUUUUAAUUUUCGAACAUAAUCCAACAAAAAGUAACUUGUUUGAUACCAAAAUGUUAACAUUGUAAAACCAAAUACAAAAAGAUCUAAAACUAAUGAAAUUUUUGUUGAAAACCCAGCUUCUCCAAAGCUUUAAAUUGGUCAUCUUGUCCGUCAUAUGGUGUUCCGUUAGAAAUCAUAGAGCUGUAGUUUAGAAGAACAAAAAUUCACUAAGGGAUAAAAUCUUUAGGAGAAUUAAAAGGAAACUUAACAAGGUCAAUGAGGAUUUACCUCUGAAAAAAUCAAUGCAAAAUGUAUGUAUAUGGCAGGAUAGCCUCCGUUCCUGUUGGUGCUGCAAAAACAACAUAAAGGAUUUAACUACUUGAAGCACAGAACAGGCGUCAAGAUGUAACUUUCACAAAAAAAAAAUCAUGAACAAAACACUUGCUGUGCAGAUAAAAUCUUACCAUCCAAAAGCUGUACGACUUGUGUGUAGCACGAGAGUAAGGACCGAGAGGACUGUGUUACCAAAGAUCUCAACAUCUUUCAUAAUCUCCCUAAAGCUCGGGUCAGGAUCAACGUCGCAGUCCGAAUCGAAGCCUGCGAUUAGAAAACAAACACAGACUUCAACAAACUUAAAUGUGAAAUCAAACACGGCGAAUCUGGUGUUUGAAGAAAUCUGAGUUCCUUCUAAGGCAGACAGACAUCAGAAAUCAAGCACGGAACUGGUACCUGAAACUAAGCUGAGGAACUUCUCUUCUUGAAUGAGGGCGGUUAACUCGAAAUCUAGAAACACAUAUAGAGAGAGCUGCAAUCUUCAGGAGAAUAAACGUCGACAAGUCGAUUUAAGAGAGCAAUAACAUAUGGUUUGCUUCCCCCUGUGGGAAGGACGAAGCUGAAGUAUCUUUCUUUGCUCGCUUUGAAUUUGUCUCCCUUCACUCGGCCGCGUACUUCCCGAUGAGAACCCUAAAUCGAUUCGUCAUAAAACACUUCCACUACACAAAUCUAAACAAUAUAAUUUCACAGUAAAUAAGGAAGAGGCUGAAUGAAGAAAUUAACCCAACUCAAUUACGAUUUGUAAACACCCACUACCCAAAUCCGAAUUACAAAAUUAAAGAAGAAUCUGUCUUGAAGCUAUUAGAAAACGAAAAGAUAAAUAUUGAAAAAGGCUGUGUAUAUCAUCACCGUGAAGGGGAAAAGAGACUUGGAGAGAGACUGGGAAAGAUGGAGAACAAGAAUUAAAGUUAUAAUCAGAAAAUUUUGGCGGAGAUUUGGGAAAAUAUUUUUUUUUGGGGGGGGGGGGAUACUGAAAGUUUUUGGAAAAUAUUUCGCGGCCAUGAAAUAAAUCUGGCGGCUGGCGCUGAUUUGUAAUUUUUUUUUGGUAAGUGACGAAAUGAGAUAAAUUAUAUACUCAUUCUAAUAAAUACUUUCUAAAUUAUAUCGAUGCCUGCUAAAAUCAAAUAUGCAACUAGUGUUAUUAUAUUUUAAUAACUAUAAUAAACAUCUAAAUUCCCAAUAUACAACUAUGGAUAUUAUGUUCAUGGUUUAGGGUAAACAUAUUUAGGGUUUAUUGUUUAGGGUAUAGAUUUUUAGGGUUUUCUUUUCAAAAAAAUGAAGAUUUACAGGGUUUAGAGUUUACUAAGCAGAUUUUAUGGUUUAUGGUGUAAGAUGUAAGGUUUAAGUUUAAGAUUAGGUUCAAUGUUUACAUUUUUUUCAAUUCGAUACAUAAAAAUAUUACAUAAAUGUGAUUUUUACACCCUCAAUUAAACACUUUUACAAAAAAUUGUUUGUCUCAGUCUCUAUAAUCUAUAUGAUCACUUAUCACUAAAUACAUAAAUCUCAGAUCAAAAUUGUCUAAAUGUGUAGUGGAAUACAUUUCUUUAAUCGAAUUUUAAAAUACUGGUGAUACUAUCUAUCAUAUCAUAUGAUGCCAAAGUAUUCACAAUCAUUUGUUUGUUAAAAUUGCUUUUGCGAUAACUUAUUCUUUAGCUAAUCAGUAGCAAGUUAGUUAUGGAAUAACUACAAAUCACAGUUGUAGCUACUUAGCUAGAGAUCGCAACAGAUUUAGCUAUAAAUUUAUAAAUUUCUACUUUUGUUGCUAUCUGUUGCUAUUUACGUAGCUAAUGAAUAUGGCUACGGAAUUGUCGUCGCUCGUCCUUAGCUAUAUUAAACAAUUCUUGUAGUGAUUCUACAACCUCCAUUCACCAAAAACAAUCGAUGGGCAUGAAAUUGGUUCAAACCUCCGGCAAGUCUCCGGUUGCUUUAUAUGUCAACGACGUUGGAUAAUGGGAGUCGUAUCAAUCUCAACGGGUCCAUCGGCAUUGGAAUUAUACUUCCGUUUGAUCCAUUUCUGGGAGGUCGAAAACGGUUCGAAAGGUGGAGCUCUUAUUGGCUUAGAGAUGCUCAUCAUCGACGAACAGGUCUGAGUGUUUUCUUCCACAAUUUCAUUUUAAUUUGAUAGUUACAGUAAAAAUUAUCAUAGUUAUGCAGAUUACUUGACAUAAUCGUAUACCUUCUCAAAUAUAAUUUCAGGUUUGUUUAAUAAACGUAUAAAUGAUUUUUAUACCAAAACUAUAAAGCCCAAAUUUUUACUAUGCUGAUAUAAGUGAAAAAAAAUCAAUGAAAAAACCCAAUGAAGCGAAAAUGCCGAAUGAAAAAAUUGGUUGUAAUAGAUGCUCAAUAUAAAAGAAAAACUUAUAUUAUUAUUAAUUUUGAGUAACGGGUCUGACGUUUUUGUUUUCGGACAGGCCACUCUGAUCCAAGCGUUCAUCUCAUCACAUCGUGCUCCAUGGUACGAGCUUUGAGGAAUUUCUACGCAACGAAAAGCAAAGAGCUAUGCAACGAAGGCCUGCCGAGUUGCUGAUCACCUUUUAGCAAUAUGUUUCAAAUACAGACCUGUUUUAAUCGGUCUAGACCACAUGUGCCUACCUAUGGACGAUGACCGGUUCAGAUUCCACGUUCAUGAGGAUUUGAAUCCAACUGUGGACUAAGGGGAUACCACUAUGGUAAGGUCUGAAACGAUCUGCAGCUUUAUUCUUUAUCUGAAUUGUUAUUUCUUAUCUUUUGUUUACUUGGUUAUCUUUGCUUAUCUGUGUAAUUCUUAUAGUUAGCUGAUAAAUUUAUUCUAACAAUGGUGUAGAUGUUGUUGGCCACAUGAAGCUAUUGAAUGGAGAAUUGCUCAUUCACCGUACUGUCCUUGACGAAGUGGAAUAGCGAACACAAGGUGUGUUCUAAUUCACUUACAAACUAAGUAGUAAGCUGUCUACAUGUAUUUAAAUAAUGUCUUCUCUCUAUUGAAUAGUUAAGUGUCUAGCUAUCAAAUGAACAUAAUCAACAUUUUCAAAGGGCCUGUUAUGAAACUGUAUCCCUGGGACCAGGCAGCAACUGUGUUCUACAAAUUCACGGCCAGUGCCGACAAAUCCUGUCAUCCUUUUAGUGGCGACUGUGAAUCCAAAACGUAUCGGAGGAAAAUAUUUUUUCAGUUUGCUUAACCAGCUCAAUGCUUCUCUUAACAUUAAGGCUCCGACUGGUGACCUUUUCGGGAACACGAGGAACGAAUAGGAAAGGAACGUAUAGGAAUAAAAUUGCAGGAAUGAAAAAUAAUGUUUGUUCCUUAUCAAAUUUAACAAGGAAUGUUUUUGUUCUAUAUUUCUCUACAAAAAAGGAAUUGGGAGGAACAAGAAGGAAAAACUAUUCCUUGUGAAUGGUGAUUUUUUUUGGGAAUGAUAAGGAAUUCAGUGUUCCCUUUCGUUCCUUGGUCACCAUUCAAAGCCUUGUUUCAUAAUUUAUUUGAAAUAAUUUGUCCAUCUGAUUCCACGUUUUGAUGUCUGACCCAUAAAAAACAGAAACCCUUGCCUUCAGCUCAAUGUCAUCAUCACGUUUUUUCAUCUACAAAGAUUCCAACCCACAAUCGACUACUUCAGUUGUCAGUAUUUAAUGAGGCAACAUGUUCGUAUCAUAUUCGUUUGUAUUUGGUAUGACCACAAGUACAUGUUCAGCCAACGUUAGAACCCUUUGUGGUUUGCAUAUUGUGUCAGGUUGAAUUCUAACCCAGAGUUAGCUAAGAAAGUGAAUGCAUAUGAGGGGACUAAAUCUGAGGCAAUGACAAUUGGAAAAAUAUUUGCUUAUAUCAAGCAAGGAUCAGCCAAGGUAAAAUAAAAUAUGUAUAUAGCCACAAAAACCAAAUAACUUAACAAUAUAAAUCCCUGUGUUUUUGACAAAUGCAGGAGGCUUUUUUGAGUGCAUUGUCUCAAUUGAUGAUGUUUAACCAUGAUUCUUCUUGGUAUUAUAUCGAUCGCAGUGAUUGCAAAACAGAGGCCAACAGAAUGCCUUCUUCGUUUGUGUGCUCUAAAUGCGGCAAUGAAAACGUAACCGGGGUCACAAAGUAAUGAACUUAAUGCUCAGUAUUCAAUAAAUCGUUGGCUUGGAUUGCUAUUUGUUUUCUCUUAUGCACUGGUAUCUUGAUAAUUAGAUCCCUGUCUACGACAAUAACGACCAGGAUGUGUUCGUUUUACUUGGUGAUGCAGGCCGUGAGCUAACUGGAAAGCAUGCCUUUGGAUUGGUUGAUAAAUACUUUGAGGUAGCUUGCCAUUACAUUAGUCAUCCUUCCCAACUCAUUAAACCUAACUAAACUUUUUUCAAAAUGUUAGGCUAAUGGUGAUCUUGGUCCUCACGAUGAGAUGCAUGCCUGUCCCACAAACUUUGAUCGACACCAUUGGUCAAACACAUAGGUUCAAGGUGAAAGUUUUGAAUACAAAGGAAGGACUCGGGCAAUAACAGUUAUGAAGGUUGUCUCUCCCGCAGUCCAGCAACCUUUAACAGCCUCAGUUGGAAUCCCACUUGCCACCAAUUUUAAAGUGCCUCUAUUUUCUGCAAGUGAUUAGGGUCCGUCCUUCAAAAACUGGAGACCUAGCUGAUGAAGAAAACUCCAGUACAAGUACUGUGACGAAGCACAGAGAGGAAAACGUGCUAAAUUUGAGUAAUAGAGCAUUAACUAAUAUCUUAUAAAAUGCACUCAUGCGUAGGAGUGUAACUUAUCUUUUCAUUUUAAUUCUGAGCUUUUGCUAAGUUUUUUUAUAUAUAUAUUUAAGUAUGGCUUUUCAUUAAAUAUUUGCAAGCAGAUGACUCAUUUGGUAUUUCUUAAUGUUACAACUUCGUAUUAUCUGACGAAUGUAUGCUAUCAAAAGACCCAUUAUUUCUCUGUGUAUCUGAAUCAUUUUACAAAGUUCUUCUCUAUCUAUACUAUUAAAGCAGAAUCUCUACUGGGAUUAUGUAUCAAUAUCAGAGAAAUAAUGUGUAGCAUUAAUAUAAAUAUUUUAAACAAAAUGUGAAAAAUAUAUUAGAAAUAUAACGUCAAAUAUACAUAUGUUUGGUAAUCUUCGGAUAUCCAUUCAGGUUUGGAUAUCCAACCUCUUCUAAUUCCAUACCCGUUCCAGUAUUUUGUUACUUUGGGCUUUGUUAUUUCUUUGUAUUAUUGACAAUUAGUUUUUCAAAUAGUUGAUAACUAAUCCCAAAAGAUUAUAUAUUACUGCCAAAAACAGUGUUUAGUGGAAGAGUAUCAUAUCUAAAGUAUCCAAACAAAUGAGAAAUCGCUUAAACUAUCACAUUCUUAAUAUCAUUUUUCAUGUUUACUUUAACUACAUUUAUCUUUAGUUUUAAAGAAGUAAAUACGUACUUAUAUCCUUAGGGUUAACUAAUAUAAACUUAGGGUUUAUAUUUGAGGGGCGGGAUUUUGGAGUGUAUAGUUUAGGAUUUUUAAAAAUAAAUAAAAUUUUAAAAAUAGUUUCAAAAAGAUUUUUCGAAUUGCAACAUAAAAUUUUGGAAAAAAUCGAAAGUUUUAUAAAGAUUUUGAAUUUAAAAACGUAUAAUUCGAAAACUAUAUAAAUUUUUAAUUAUUAUUUAAAUGAUUAUUUAUAUUUAUAUAACUAUAAAGUAAUGAUAGAAUAGUAUUUUGGACUUUAAUUGAAAUUUCAUACUUUACGUAUUUGUGAAAAUAUCCAUUUAAUAAAGGUAAACAUAAAUAAUAGUUUUCUAAAAAAAUAUAAAUAAUAGUACCAGAAUGAAAUAAAACACAACUCUCCCAAAAACAUAGGACUGAUUCUUUAUUUUUAAUUUUGGGAAAUGAGGCAUACUAACCAUACAAAAAAACAUAAAUUCACUGACUAACCAAAAUCUCUCCCUCUCUCCUACUUUCUCUUCCUAUCUCUCUCUUACUUCUCUCUACAAAUCUGAUUUCUAAUUUUUUUGGUUAUUUGGCAAAUAAGCCAUUUAAUUUUAUUCUGUAAAUUCAGGAUAUUAUUCAUCGCCAAACAAAAAUUAAGUAAAUUAUCUUUGUGUAGCACGGAGAAACACUCUAGUGUUUGAUAAAAACAACUAAGGCUAAGUGAAUAUAGCCUUUUAAUUCAUAUCUCUAGCUAGAUGAUUAUUUGGUUUUGUACUUAUGUUAUGUAAUGCACUGGAGGUGCUCUUAGACUCAUGCUUACUAUUCUGCUUUGAAAGUGAUCAUUAUUGCUUUUCGUUUUGAUUUGUCUCUAAAUUUAUUUUUGUAUUUUUCGUAAAUUUUAAUGUGAGUAGACUUCUGUUCAAAGACAAAAAAAUGAAGACUUCUGUUCAGAGAAGUUUACCUAUGUUCAACAUCAAAUAAUAUAUCCAGUUACACUGAUUAUUAUACUGGAUAUAUUGGCUGCGACUUGUUUAAGAGUUAAGACCAUAAAGAUAGUUUAAAGGUGACUGUGAACAUAAGUUUACGUACUUGUGUUCAUUUUGAUAUUGACUGUGACUUGUUUGAGACUAUAAAAAUGGUUUAAUAGGUUUGAUAAAAACCAUUAAGACAAAGUUAAUAUUAGACGAUUUAAUUGGAUCUCAUUUUCUCCUUUGAACGAAAAUACUAGUUGGAAUCUAGCCAGAACAGUUUUACAUUAUAACAAUUUGAAAUUAGAUUUGAAGUGUGAGAGCAUUCUAAAGGGAAAAACAUCAAUAAGCUUUACUCAUCGCUUUGUUUCCCCGAAUUUUUCUUUGAAAUAUAGUGUGUUCUAAUUCUUACACGAAUUUUAUUAAUUACUUAAAGAAAUUUAUAUCUUCACAAAUAGACUUUCCUUCUCUCUCCUCCAAUAUUCUUCUCUCGAGCCCCCAAACCUCCGUUUCGCCUUGCUCCGGUGUCGGUGGUGAGAGUACCGCCGCCGGAGGCGCUCCUCCUUACCCUUCCUCUUUUCCUCUUUGCCAUUGUCUCGCCUUUCACCUUUUCUCUUCGAUAUGUCUCUGGCUCUGGGCGUGUGAAGUUCUCCGGCGUCUCCUCCAGCUCGGGAUGGUGUAGAUCCGUGGUCCCUUCCUCCGUUUUGGUGUCAAGGCGAGUCGAGAGUGGUGACUAUUGAGUCAAUGGUCGGUUUUUAGGGUUCGGUGGGUACGAUUGAUUUUUCCCUUCGUCGAUCUACUCGAAAAUCGAGGCACGGCGACAUGGUUCGACCUCUCUCUUCGCAGAUCCGGUGGAUCGACUGGCCGCAUGGCUUGUCUCUGGUUCUUGUUGCUCGAGUUGGUUGGUUUGUUUGGUUGGAGUGGAUCUCAGCCUUGUGAUCUCGGGUUUGCUCUCUCCUUCCGGCUCCAUCAGUUUAGGCUCUGGUGGUCUUCUUUCCAUUGCUGCUUCGGUGUUGCUGCUUGUCACUGCUGUGGCUCUGCUCUGGUCUUCGUCGUCCUGUUUUCUGGCAUUGUUUUUCCUAAUCCUCGGAGUGACGGUGACGGCUGUCUCUCCUUGGUGGGCGUCUUCUCCUUCUUCGUUGAUCCACAGUCUCUUGUCAACGAUUCUGUGCUCAGCUUUGCUUUGUGAAACCGCGCUUUGGUUCUCAAAGGCGGCAGUGGCUUAGAGACUAGCUUGUUGGGUCUGUUGCUUUCUCUUUGUUGGCUCCACUGUUUUGGAGUUGCUGAAUCCCAGUGCCACCGAUGUGGUCAUUUGGCAACUGUUGGUAGCAGCUCUCUAUUGUCCUUUGUGAAGGUUGAUGUGUCCUUAGGUCUCUCAAUGCAGCAGCGUUUUUGGACCCGCUUUUUGUUCAUAUAUCGAGUAUUCUCGGUUCAGCUUUGCAGACUUUGGGGAUCUCUUGGUUUUGGUUUUGCUUACCGCUUUGCUUAGCUUUUGGAGGAGGUAGUAAGGUUUCAGAGUGGAGAUGCGGCUUGUCUUUGUGAGUGAGCUCCUGCUAUUAAGCUCCUUUUGAUCUGGCUUCGGAGGUGGAGUUGCGGCGGGCUCCUGCUAUUAAGCUGAUAGUUAGUAUUUGGGAGUGGAGAUGCGGCUCGAUUUCGCGAGUGAGCUCCUGCUAUUAAGCUCUGUUAGUUUGUGUUGUCUUGGUGUUUUUGUCCCCGAAAGGAACUUCGCUAUUGCUGCCAGAUGAAACAACUUCCUUUUGCCUUCUUUGCGGUUUGGCAUCUCUUUUCCUUGCUGCUCUCUCAUGUUACCCUUAACUAGAGAUUUGCUCGUUUAUCGCUAUCACUCUCUACGGAUACUUAUAAGUUGAAGUUUUGGGUUUUACCAAUUGUCGUUUGCUUCCACGUUUUUUACCUUUUUUUGCCGUGGAACCAAUUACCUUAGGUUUUACAGUUUGUCGACAACUUAUUAUAACACCUUAUCUUCAUUUCUUGAACUGAUUUUUACAUUCUUAGCAAAAAAAAAUAUAGUGUGUUAUACAUGAUUUACAAUUUUGAGUUAUCUUUUUAGUAAAAUUGAUAAAUCAAGUAUUAACACAAUCACAUCAAUAGUUAACAAUACAGGAAUACAUUCUCAGAUUUUCAUUUUAAUUAGUUUAUUCUUUUAUAUAUACCAGAAAAAAAAUAAAAAUAUAGCAACAUCAGAAGCUGGCAGGUUGGUCCAUUGUAUUAGUCUCUGAGUGAUAUUGCCACGAUGGGUUUGCGCCAAGGUUGUUCCCUGUCACCUUACCUGUUCGUAAUAUGCAUGCAGGUGCUAUCUAAACUGCUUGAUAAAGCAGCAGCAGAGAAAGAGAAUUGGAUAUCACCCGUAUUGUAAGGAGUUGAGUCUAACUCAUAUAUGUUUUGCGGAUGAUGUGCUAGUGUUUUCAGAUGGGAGAAAGAGGUCCAUUGAAGGCAUUUUGGCUGUGUUUCAGCAGUUUGCAAGGAUGUCGGGGCUUAAUAUUAGUCUUGAAAAAUCUACGCUAUAUCUGGCAGGGGUAAGAGCAGAAGAUAGUGCGGAUAUUCUGGAACAAUUUCCAUUUGAAGCUGGUUCUUUACCGGUAAGAUAUCUUGGGCUUCCUCUUCUCACCAAGAAAAUGACUGUUCAAGACUAUAGUCCUCUUAUUUCAAGAAUAAAGACUCGAAUCUCUUCAUGGACGGCGAGACAUCUUACUUUUUCGGGUAGACUCCAACUCAUUGGUUCGGUUAUAUAUAGUAUAACGAACUUUUGGAUGUCAGCUUAUAGACUACCGAAUCAGUGUAUCCAGGAGAUAAAUAGCAUCUGUGCGGCUUUUUUAUGGUCUGGACCAGUACUGUCUACGCACAAAGCUAAGAUAGCAUGGUCAGAUGUGUGUGUGCCGAAAGACGAAGGAGGGUUAGGCUUGCGAAUAGAGUUUCUUGUUUAAAGCUCAUCUGGCGUUUGUUAUCUGCAAGAUCUUCUUUGUGGGUACAAUGGAUAUGGAAGUAUCUCAUAAGGAGUGUAAAGAAAAGUAGUUCUUUGGGUUCAUGGAUGUGGAAGAAGCUGUUGAAGUUAAGACCUAUGGCUCAGCAGUUAACUAAAAUGGAGAUUAAUAGUGGCUCAAAUACAUCAUUUUGGUUGGAGGAAUGGUCACCAUUGGGGAAACUGAUUGAUUUAACAGGAGAUGGAGGUUGUAUGGCUUUGGGUAUUCUUUUGAAUACUACGGUGGAAAGAGCUAUUCAGAUGUACAAGGUUAGAAGACAUCAAAUUUCUGUGUUUAGAAUGAUAGAGCAGGAAAUUAUGAAGUUGGGUUAAAUAUGCUGGAGGAUGUUUGUCUUUGGAAAAGGGAGAAUGGAGAUUUCAAAAUGGGUUUCAUCACAUCCCAAACUUGGAAUCUCACAAGGGUUCAUGCGCCAAAAGUUCCUUGGAGUAGAGGUAUUUGGUUCCCUGAAGCCACUCCGAAAUUUGCUUUUCUUGCGUGGAUUGCAAACCACAAUAGAUUAGCAACGGGGGAUAGGAUCCUUAGAUGGAAUCCUCAAGCUAUAUCCACCUGUUGGCUCUGCAAAAUGGAGAUUGAAACGAGAGAUCAUUUAUUUUUUUAGUGUAUUUACUCGAAAGAAGUUUGGAGGGGGACCAUUGGCAAUCUCGCGGGUAAUGGUAGCUUUUUUCAAUGGUUUCAAGUGAUUCAGGCUGUGGUAAAUGGUCCAAGGGAGAGAUACUCAAAUUUCUUGCUGAGUUAUUUUCUUCAGGCUGUUGCUUAUGCACUAUGGCAUGAGAGAAAUGUGAGAAGAGUUGGUGAAACUUCGCAGCCAGUUUCUUGUUUGAUUGCAAGAUUGGAAAAUUUGGUGAGAAACAAAAUCAUUUCGUUAAAGAGGAGGAAUGGAAGGAAGUAUGAGAAAGGGAAGUGUGGUUUGGGAGAAAAUAGUUUAUAGUUUUGAGAGAGCUAUAGUUUUGUAUAAAAAAUCAUAGAACAAUUGCAGUCCUUUCUGUACAAUGUUGUGAAUCGAGAGAAAAAGAGAAUUGGUUAAUCUUAUUAUUAGUUCGUAGACAACGAUGCCUAUAUAUAAGAAUACAAAGUUAGGGUUUAUAACCUCUAGAACAUGGGUUUAUGGGCCUAUAUGAACAUCCAUAAAAUAGUUCAUAACACUCUCCGUUGGAUGUUCAUUAUACAAAAUAAACUCUAAAGCGCAUAAGAUGCUGUCUCAUUAAAAAUUUUACCAGGAAAACUCAGUGGAAAAAACCGUGGUGAAGGGAAAAAGAGUGCAGCGCGCAUCUAAUUCCCCUGAUGAGAACAUAACUUGAGAUAUCUGAUAGGACACAAUCCAAUGUGAUGAAUUAACUCAUUCUUGGGGUUGGACCGGUUUACUUCUCUUGGCAUUUUUGACACUCCUCACUAAAACUUGAAUAUCUUGGUGACCGUAGGACAAAAUGACUUCAAACCACUUGGAAAUCGAAGCUAACAUCCAUGUCUAACUUUAGGCACCGAUCUGGCUCUGUUAAGAUGGAAAUAUCAAGUAAUAUUUUGAAUAUCAUAUGAUAUUAGGUAUUCUGGACAGCUUGUAUAUGUCCCACGAAAACAGCCAUAUCUCGAGUUCUAUCAUGGAGAAUGACUUGAUUCAAAUUGGAAAUGAAAAUAGAUUCAAAGAUCUUUCUCCGGACACCAAUUUCAUAUUUUAAUUUCAUCUAUACGGUCUCCUUUGAUUCAAAAUAUUUUAACGUUCGUUUCUGUCUAGCGAAUGAAAUGUGUCUAUACCUUGAUUCUUGUUCAAGUAUGAUUGAUCUUUGAUCAUUAUCUUCUGCUUAUUUUAGUCUCAAAAUACAUUGGAAGAUUGAUAGAUUUUCAUCACUUAAGUGUUAACAUUUCUCUUUAGGUAUCUAUCAUUUAUGUGUUCUUUGUUGCCUCGUUAAAACCUUGACAUGAAAAACCCAAUGGGACAAAAACCAUGAUAAGGAAAAAGAGUACAACUACGAACAUCAUCAUAUUUCUUCCCUUGGAAGCAUCAUCUUAGAGAGAUGUUUUCUCAUCAUAUAUAUUUUUCUUUUAAGAAUUGAUAUAAGCAUAUCCUUAGUAAUAAACUCAUUUGAUUGUCAGAUAAUCUCUUAGACCAUUGGACUUCUUAUCCAUAGCAUUAUUUUCACACAAAAGAUCAUAUUUUGGUCUAUUUGGACUUCUUGUCCAAAUUUCCUUUUAUAGACAAUCUUCUAAACCUUCACAUUAUGCAUACUUAUACAUACGAGUUAUCCUUUUGCUUCUCGUAAAAGUUACAAUUAUGAAUAUCCUUCUUGUCAUACGAAUCACAUCUUUCAAUCAUGAAAAAGAUCAAUAAAUUUCCCAAUAUUAUGGUACUCAUGACCAAGAAUUAUUUUCUUUAUAUGCUCAGUAUACUCGGACAAUAAUGUUCUCGAGAACUAACACUUACUCUGCUUCUAACAGUCCAAAUCUUUAUGGAGUUUACUACUUCUUGCAGUUUAUAUUCUUUUGGAUCGUUCACAUAAAUUUCAUUAUUCCAGUGGCUCUCAAUUCCUUUUCUUUGUUGCCAGACUAAAGAAACUUGAAAGUUUAUGCUUCCACCACAUGAUGAUAUGUUUCUUUAUAAUCAAUUAUAGGUCUUUGUUACAAUCCUUCUGCAACUACAACAUCAAAUCUCAUGAUUUUAUUAUCGCCUUUAUUCUUUCACAUUAAGAUCCAUUUAUGUGACACUGGUUUUACACCGUUAGGUGUGGGGACUACCUGUCCAAAUACUCUUAUCUUUCAAAUAGAUUGCAUCUAUUGUUUAUUUCCUCUUUCGGCCAUUUAUCAUAUUGUGUGCACAUUUCAAUAGAUGAUUCAUGAUCCUCAUUCUCAUCAACUGCUUCAUUGCAUGCAUAAGUAUUUACGACGUCGAUUUGGUAUCGGUUCCAUAUCGUUCCUGAUACAACAUAGCUAUUUGAGUUUUCUUUAUUCUCAGGUACCUGAAUUUCUUUCUUGUCAUGUUUUCUAUCUUUCCUCGAGAUCUUUAAUCUUUCAUUCCUCGAUUCUGCCAUUCUCAUUCAAGCUUUUUUUCUUUUAUGAGGAUUAUUAUAUUCAGAACUGAUAAGUCUUUCACGCUUCAAGCACUCUUUAAACUCAUUAGCAGUUUGAUACUGUCAUUCUGGGACAUCAAUUUAAAUUGGAGCAUUUAGAGCUGGUACUUGUGACUUAAUCACUUUCUUAGGGUCAGUAAAUGAGCAUGGCAACUCAUAUGCUAAUAUUUUUAAUAGAAUUAUCUCCAAACAUUCAUUUUUGGACUUCUAUUCACGCUCUUUAGUCCGAGGAUUAAUGAUAAUUCAUUCAACUCAUUCAUUCUCCAGCUGUUUAUUUUCUCCCCUUAAUGUUGGAUAGACUAACUAUGAGUCUUUAAAUAAAUUUUAUAAAAUCUUCAAAAUUUUAUCAUCAAUGGAGAUCAUAUCUAGGACUGUUCAAUAUGGUAAAACCGAACCGUACCGAACCGAACCGAACUGAAAUAGACAAUAUGGUUUGGUUUUGGUAUAUACCAUAUAAACCAAAUGGAUAUAAUUUUAUAAAAACCGUAGGAUUUGGAUAUGGUUUGGUAUAUAACCGAUUAAACCGAAUAAACCGAUUAAAAGUAGAAACAUGUAAAUAUGUAUCUAUUUUAUAACAAUACAUGAAAAUCUAUUUGUUACAUAAGUUAAAUUUGUGUUAAUAACUAUUACCAUAAUUUUAUAGUAAUAAAGAACCUUAAUUUGUAAAACACUUGAACUAUAAUUAAAUAACAAUACAUCGCAAUUCACACAUCUUAUUUUCUAAGUUUUCUUUUGAUCUUUUUGCUUUAUUUUAGUCUUCACUAAAUUAAUAUGAAGAUUAUAAAUUUGAUGGACAAUAAUUAAUGAAAAAUUUUCACAACUUUUUUCUUAUCUGUAAACAAACAGAGUUUCGUGUUCGAUUGAAAAAACAUGACUUUAAUGAACACUAAAUAUGGAAGAGUGGAAAAACUUUUCUUUCAUGUUUCUGUUUUGUUUCAUAUUUUUAUUUUCAAAAUUUGAAGCUUUGAUUUUAGUUAUAGAUUUGAUUAUUUUAUUUGACGGUAGAAGCAUUUUUACUUUUUUUGUUCAUUUAUUUGAACAUGUAAUAUAUUUUUAAUAAAUGACUGUAUUGACAAUAUGACUCUAAAAUUCAUAUAAUAUGAUCUCAAACUAAAUAAUUAUGUUUUUUGGUAUAAAACCGAAUAAACCGAAAACCGACGGUAUAUAAACCGAACUGAACCGAAGUAAAUAUGGAUUUAGAAUGGUAGUUAUAUUUUACUAACCGAAAUACCGAAAACCAAAAAAAACCAAACCUAAACCGAACCGAUAUCCGGAUUGAACACCCCUCAUAUCCAACAUAUUCAUAACUUCCUUUGAGGUCCCAUCUUUUAGCUGUGUGGUGGAGCAACUACAACUUGUGAAAAUUUUCUAGAUGAGUAUCUUUGGUUUCUGACCCAAAACCAAUUUAAUAGGGAGAGUUUUUAAUUACUCUUUGGCAUUAUGCGAAUCAUUGAUGUUGCAUCUUAAGUAUGAACAUUAGCUACAAUAUGUUCAUCAUGUAUCUCCAUAUGAAUAAAAUAACCAUUAAAGGCUUGUUAAUUCACCAGUUUUACCAAUCUCGCAAACAUCUGGUUGCGAUUUAUGAUAAGGAUACAUACGACCUUCUUGUCGAUGCAUUAACAUAUGAUGGAUGAUCAGUCCACCAGUGGGUGAUCAAGCCCACAAACAUGUCAUUGUUUAAAUAGGUUUUAAAUCUAUUUGACUGGUGAAAAUCGUAUUCUUAUAUUUCCUUGUAAGCAAGCAGCAUAUAACAGAUCAUUCGUAAGAAUCUUCUGGUUCUUCAACGAAUAUGCAUAUGAUUAUCUUUCGCAUCAUUACUAAACCGGGAUGGCAUAACCGGUUUGCCAAACAUUACACUUUCGGUAAACUUCUGGUUUACUAUUACAUUUAUCUCUAUUUUCUAAUCAUUGUGUAGUACAAUACAAUAGUGCUUUGGUGAUACUUCUGAUUGAAGGUAUUCAACAUUUCCAUUUACUUAUUGUCUCAACAUUACUAGAGUAUAAAUCUCGUGGUUUUAUUUUAUAAAUGACUAUUUAAGUCUAUUUCCAGUGUGAACAUACUUCUGGAUGUUCCACUUACUAGGGACGUGAGAUUAUCUAAUCUUCCCCUCGAGAUAAUGAUACUCAAGGUUCAUAUAUCUGGAAUUGAAUCUCACUUUAUAAUCAACAACAUAUCCAAUUUAAGGUCAUGUGUUAUAUCUUAGAUCUUUUUGAUCUUUGAGACUUGGAAAAGUAUAACGCAUUAAUGAUUUUAACUUGUGUUCCCAUAAGCAAGCAUGUAUCUGCUCCUCUAGAGCUUUCAAUAAUUUUGAUACCACAAGACAUUGUACUCACAAUAAUUUUCUUUCAUCUUUAUAUGAAUGAAUCAUAUCUCUUCUUUAUUACCAUCUUUAUUUUUUCAACUUUAAGUGAGAAUAUGAGUUCUAAAAAAAAUCUUUGGAUUUUAACCUUAUUUAUAUCCACAUUCACGUCUACAAUCACUUUUAUGUCUACUUUCUUGACCAAUGUUGAUUUUCUUUUUCAAUAUAAAAUGUCAGAUUCUCUUGAAGAGAAUGAUCAUAAUCAACUAGAUGUGAUUUUUUCAUCUUACAUUAGUAGCUCAUUAUUAUUUUUUCUUAGUCUCAAGGAGACAAAAUAUAGUUAUAAACUUCUUUAAUCUCAUUUUAUCAAUCGGGUGUCUACUAGACAACAUUAAAUAAUUAUUUUAUUCACUAUCUUUUUACUAUCAUGCCAUUAAUCAUUUUUAGAUUAUAUGAUUAAGUUUUCAACAAAAUAUUUAAACGAAUCAAAUGACAUGUAUAAUUAAUUUAUUUAAUCAAAGGUUUAUUUGACUAUAAAUUAUUAUUAAGCAUGAUAGGGAAUAUAAACUUAUCUCGAUAGUAGAAGUAAAACAGGAAUUGAAAAUCUGGCAUGAAGAUGAUCUUUAAAACAUUUUCUAUCUUUCGGCUAGUUAGAAUCUCAAAUAUACAUAACCCUGAAAUACUUAAAAUUGCUCAUAAAACAUGGCUAUAUUGAUAUUUUAGUAAACAUCAAUAUGUAAUAUCAAAAUUAAUUUUGUAGCAUUAUCCCAAUAUUAUUACUAACAAUACAAAAAACAUGUGUAGUAUUCAAAAGAAUAAUAUCGUCAAUCUGUGGACUAGAGACCAAGCAACAUAUAAAAGGAGUGAGCGGCAAAAUAUACAAAUAUGAUUUUAAAUCAAUCAUAAAGAAUAAUGACUAUAGAACCGCUAGAACAAAUACACUGUAAUGCAUAUGAAACCAUAAACAUGAUAGAAGACACAUAUUAUUAUUUAUACAUGAAGUUCGACGAAUGUAUCAACCGGUGAAAUAUAAAUUAGUGAGAAACAAGAACCACUCAUAUAAAAUAAUAUCAUUUAUUGUAUUGACAGCAAUAGGUCAAACUCAGACUCAUAUUAUAUUGCUAAAAGAACAAAGUAUAUAUGUGAAUAAUAAUACUAUGACUAUGUCAUGUGUUAACUGUAUGAAUGAAUUAAGUAAUGAAACAAUAACCAUAUAUACUAACGUGAUAACAACAACACAUAUGACAAUAAAGAGUAUCAACUAUAACAAGAAAUGAUUCGUAGGUUUUAAUUGUAGUUAUAGAUUCUAACUUUUAGUUCACAGUAUCAACAAUAAAAAUAGUGAGCUAAGUGGUGAUGGUUAUAACUUAUAAACAAACCGAUUGAUUUUCAUAAUAAAACAGUAAAUAACAAAGACGAGCUCUUGAUAACCAAACCUAUUAACAAUAAGCGAUACAAAUUACAGCCUGUAAAAUUAAAUUAAACUAGUCAUCUUUAACAGAUGGACAACCAUUGACAGUCAUAAAAUUAAUCUGAAUGCUAUAAUCGAAGUAUAAUACAAAGCCGUCCUGUUAUCAAAAGACUACUCAUUUUCUCUAGUGAUUUAUUAAAUUAAUAAAACCAGAUCAAUAACGAUACAAUAUAAAAGAGCACCAGUCAAAUCAAGUCGUUCAAAGCAAUAACAUCUCGAGUAAUUAAAUUUUGAGCAAACAAACGAAAAAGAAACAUGACCAAUAAAUGAUUCUCUCAUAAUAACAUAAUAAUCAGAUCUAAAUAAUUGGUUAAAGCAUGAUGGAUUAAGUAUGAUGUUAAAGUAUAGAGAAUAAUCCUUAUCUUGAUAGGUAGUGGUAGCAACAUCAAUCGAAGACCACGUCUAAGAGGGAUAUGAAGACCACGUCUAAGAGCGAAAUGAAGAUGACGUCAUAAGCUAUGAGGAAUUUUUUUUUUUCACUAGGGUUUUAGAUUUUUCUCGUUAUUAGUCCGUAGACAACUAUACCUAUAACCAGGACGAGUUAGUCUGGUGGUAAACGGCUUGCAGCUGCAAGUACGGUCCCGGGUUCGACUCGCACUGGCCACCAGGGAAUUUACAUGCGGACUUGCUCUGGCGCCUGAGACCGAAGACCGUUGCCUGGCCAUGACCCACCCUCGGGUGAGCGUCCCCGCCGCUAAAGGUUUGGUCUCUAGUCUGGACCACCACGGUGGGACCAAGACACUCGGUUAAAAAAAAAGACAACUAUACCUAUAUAUAGGAACACAAAGUUAGUUAGGGUUUAGUAUAUGGACUUAUAACUACAAAAGUUUUUUUUGAGAUAAAUAAAUUUAAAAUUCUUUCAAAAAAAAAGAUAAUGCCACGAUGGGUUUUUGACUCUUAUUCACGUCCUUGUUUUUAUAGUCAGUUUCUUAAAAUAAAAUUAUAUAUCAGGGUUUUAAUUGGACAUUUAUUAAAUUGAGUUACUAUUCAUGAUUUUUUCUAUAUCUUUUUCUUUUCUUUUGGAUUUUUCUCUGCAAAUUUGUGCACUGGAAAGAGGUGAGUUUGCUUUUAACAAAAGCGAUACAAUCUAAUAGUUUGUUUGAAGAUAAUUUUUUUUAAAUAUUAAAUAUUAUAAAAUACUGAUAAACGGGCAUACACAAAUUGAUUACAAGCCUGAUUUCGACCAACAUUUAUCUAGAAUCAAAUAUUACUGUGAGGUUAUGAUAGACACUUGUUGGGGUCAAAAACGGUUACGACGGAGUUAACAUUCAAAACGUCCGAAGAAGAAAACGGGAAAUUUCUUCGACGAAUAUUUUUUCGAAAUAGAUUCUUUCUUACGAAAAGUUUUGCGGAGGAAACACGAGACAUCAGACAAGGGCUCGAAAAAGGUCGCUACGCAACGACCGAACGAGUGUUCCGCUCAGUCGCUACGUAGCGACCGAGCUCUUCCAAAACGUCGAUACGACAUUAGUCCAUGUAUUCUCAUCUACCCUUCGAUGCUAUCUCCCGAAGACCGUAGCAAACCCAUUUCAUGUUUCCCGCCAUUCUAAGUCAUCGAUCAAACUUUAUCGUAAAAACCGCGGAAAGUUCGUUCUUUAUCGAAAGAAGCCGUAAUAAACGCUUCGAGUCAGAAGACGGCCCAAAGGGACCUAAGACAUGACUCGAGGCCCAACUUACGAUUUCUUAACCAACAGCCCGUAAGCCGCAUGACGGUUUACGCUUGGUUCCCAAGGAAAGAUAAAUGUCAAGUUUCCGCGGAUAAAUACGAAAUUUUGAAGAUAAUUACGAAGAUCGGAAAAAAUGGAAUAUCUCCAUUUUUACGCUAUGACGGCUUAAGGGCAGAAGAGGAAAAGCGCAAACCGACCUAGGAGCCAGUAUAUAAGGAGUCCUAGGCGAGAAGCAUGGGGAAGGACUUUCUCAGAGCAAACUUAGCACUUAGGGCAAUUAAGAAACUUUCCGUUUUUGUUAUUCGAUCUGCGACUCAAUUAGGUUUAGCCGUCUUAGGGUUGUUAGAACUAGGAAUCUCACCGACAGCUCUCGAGCCCAGGCUUAUACCUUGUUGUAAACGCUCAUACGCAAAUUCAGAAUAAGACUUCUCUUUGCUCUCUUUUUACGAUUUCAUAUAAUUUAUCGUUGUUAUCUCGUGUUCUGAUUGCUUAGUGUGUGGUAUUAGCAGAUAUCCGGGACCUCUGGGAAAUUAGGGUUCUCAUACUUUCCUAAUUUAAACGGAAAUCGACAGUGCGAAUUUCGGUUCCCACAACACUUGUUGCGGAAUACAAGCUCAUAAUACCCCUGUCCCUUUCACUACUCAAACGAUUCAUCAUUGUUCAUGACUCAAGAAUUAUUCACCCAGUUCACGGCCGCAGCGCGCUACAUCUGGGGUGGAUCCAAGAUCCACAACAUCCAUUAUGAAGUAUCGGAAAACACCUCCGAUGUGGUUUACAAGAUCAUUACUCUCUCUGUCCUGGGUAUACAAAUCCUAGAGAGUAUAAAGAGAUUACAAGAGAAGUACAUGGCUAAGAGCUAAGCCUAGGAUUACAUAUCUAUCACUACUUACUCUAUCUCUGCAAGAGACGCCAUGGAAGCUCUCGCCUCCUAGAGGCUCUGCUUGAGCUUGGAGAUCCCUGUCGCGAUCUUUCCUUCUUUGUAUCAGCACUUGACCUAAUGGGCUUCAACGAUUAGGCCCAUAUGUUGUCCGCGCGUAACUUGUGCAAGCCGGCCCAACAUUGAACUUGUCUGAUGGACUUUGACCAAACUUCACAAAACUCCACCUGUUUGGUCCAAGUCCAUAACCUUUACUUUGUGCCGACACCUCUUGAUGCUUGAGCAAGCCUGCUCAUCUUCUGCAUCUACUUGUCUUCUCUUAUCUCUUCUCACUUCUCUCAGCUCCACCUUGAGCCAAGCUUGAAGUUCCUUCAUGAUCUUCUUUAAACCUGCAUAAGCUUCAACUUAUACACCACAACCGCUCAAGUAGAUUAAAACACUUUAAUCCACUUAGCCCCCUCAAUGAACAUAGACAUCACACCUGAUGAAAGGUAUGUGACAAUCCCAUUGCCAUUCUGAAUAUCCAUCACCUUCAUCUAUUGUCUUGAGUUGCGAACCAAGCUGCUACACUCCAAGUGUCAAGCUCAACUCCUCAUUGACGCCGUGUUACUUCAUCUCUUGUUACUCCUCGUGAACUUAUCAACAAUACAACCUUGCUGUCAAAAUCAUGAACAUGUUCAAGUGCUUGAACAGAAACCUGAACAUCCUUCUGCAAGUUGAUUUCCUCCUUGGCCUUUCGAUUCCACUCAUGUGCACUAAGCCUUGAAUCAAAUUCCUUGAAUACUGUGCAACAAAUUUUGAACCAUAUAUGCUUCAGACUUGAAACAACCUCUGAUUCUCUACUUGUUUAAAACACUCUAGCCUUGAACCCGUUUUGUAGUGCUGUUACUCAGAACAGGACCCACCAUCCAACCAUCACUGCUGGACAGACUCUCGACACAACUUUUAUUCACCCUUCAUGUUGUUAACAGAAAUUGCUACCACAUAAUUCUCCUUGAAUCAACUGCAAACCUUUGAAGUCACUCAUGCUCCAUAUCUCUGAAACAGUCUUUGACUUACCCUUGAUGUUCUUGAACAGAUUACACUUGAGCAUCACUUUGUGCUGCUGCACACUUAAGCAGGACACGCCGCCUAAAACCACAUGAUUAGGAAGACUGUCGACAUAAAUAUCUUUGCUCCACCAUCUGAUCAAACUGUUCUGCAAUAACAGAACCUCCACUAACUGAUUUAGACCCCACUGCUAGUUGAAUGAACUGAGCCUCAUACCAUCGAAUCCAUGAUACGCCUUGGCUCUCCUCACGAGUUGCAUGUGAUGUAUUUAUCUAGAAUCCUUGAUAUCACUCCUUUUCUCAGCUGUGAAUUCAUUAUCUCAAUAACCUUCUUGUAUUAAGAUGUCUCCAAACACCGAAACAUGUGCAUCACCAUCAACGACUUGAACAUGCCUGUUAGUCAUUGAACCCGCCAGUAGCCUGAUGAGUACCUGGCCAUCGAUGAGUAUCUGGCCAUUUGCUAAUGGACUUUCCUGAGGACACUGCCUCAAUAUUCCCCUGUGAUGCGAUCAAAUAUCCAGAACUCCACAUGUUCUGAUCCAUAAAUGCAAUCGGCUUUUCCUGCCCUUAUACCUUCAUGAAACUUCUUUCAGUUCCAUGACCUGAGCUUAAGAUGAGCCUGCUUGUGGAGAAAAAGUCUUACCCUUCCUGAGAUGGACAUACUAUAAGACAAUUCCCUGCAAUCCCUGCAAUGUCUUCUAGCAGUUUCUUAAUUUGCUUCAUCUCACCAUUCUUCAUCUUCACUGCCAAUAUUUCAGUAUCUCUUGAUACUUACUUACCUUCAGUUUAACCAAGUACCCCACCACGUGUUAUCUUGCAUUAUACUCGGCUCUGAUUUCGUGGUCCCCUGUAUCAACCUCACUGCAGUGUACUCAUGAUACAUAUGCCGAUUUACUUGUCUCGCCGAUAAAUUCCCUUAUGUAAGACUCCUCUUACAAAUCUCCUAAUGAUGCGCCUUGUACUUGUUAACUGACCUUGACACUCUUGGCCUUGACACACUGAACAUAUCCACGCCCCUCUUGUCAUGGAAUAACCUUUCCUUUCAGCUCUUAUUCCCUUGAGCUGACCAUGUUGCUAACCGAAACUUUUACCCCUUUAGCUGAACCAAUCAAGACAUCUUCUAACCAGUGACUCACUCCACCUGGAAUCAGAUUAUAUAUAUCCUUGAUGCAUCAAUCCUUAUAUAAUCUCAGUGGCUCCACCUGAAUCAAAUAACCCUUUAGAAGUACCAUGUCUCUGUAACUAAGUUUCUGCAACUGUUCGUUGUUCCUGUCGGCCUCUUAAUCUUAUCUCCCAUCAUCUAUGCAUGUGAUGCUCCUGAGAUAAUCCCUUACAGCUUCUCUUGUGUCAAACUCGAGUCUCAUGACGAGUUUCUCCAGCUGUAACUAUACUUGAACCAUAACCUGUUCAAGCCUGAAGUUCCGACCUGGUCAAGUCUACAAAUUGCUCCUUUUGCCUUUGAGGUUCGAUUCUUGUCUGAGAGCUCCACCUUGACCACUGUGGUCGUGACACCAGACCAGCGUCCUUACUUCUCCUUUGAGUCUAUUAAUCUGGAAUUUCUGACUCAGACAUCCUUGACGAUUCCUCUAAGGUAUAACUCACACACGCUUCUACUAGCUAUGGUAGCGACUUUCUGCUUCUUGAACAAGUGUUGAUGACUGUUGUCUCAUACCCAUUUUCCUCAGGAUUACAACCAGUCGUAACAACCUGUUCAACCUGAUUCCGCUUGCGCAUUUUUCUCUGCCUUUGACCAGAAUCUUCAAGCUAAGUCUAACCUUGAAUCGCCUUUUUCUUUGGUUUCAUGUCACUCACACGACCUUACUAAAGCUACUACAUGCUGUUACCACAAAUAGCCAUUUGCUCCAACAUACCCUUGUGUAGGCUUUUACACACUUUGUCCUUACUCUAGUUGCCUUUUCGUGGAGGUACAACCUAUUCCUGCCACACUGACUUGGUGACUAUUUUGGCUUUCUUCUUACAGCCAAAAACUUUCCAUGUCACUUUCACGACCUCACUAAAGCUGCUACAUGCUGUUACCACAAAUAGUCAUUUGCUCCAGCGUAUACUUGUGUGGCUUUUGCACACUUUUCCAUUGCUCUAGUUUCCUUUUCAUGGAGGUACACCAUGUUUCAGUCACACUAACUUGGUGACUCCUCUGACUUUCUUCUAUCAGUCAGAAACCAUUCCUCUCAUGCACCCACGAGCCUGACUUGAACUGACCCAAAAUAGAUCACCUUUGUUUCGUCAUAUUGUUGUCACACGACAACCAACCUGUGCAGCUUCAAGAUCCGUUGGUCAUCUUUCGCUAAGAUAACCUGCAUUCCUUGUGAUCUCUAAAAAAAACCUUUAGUCCCUCUGAGAUUGAUGACCUUUGAUUCCAUCUCCUUAAGUCUAGCUUUGACUUCAUAUGAGUCUGGCUUCCCUUGAGAUAUCCUCCAUCCCAAUUGACUCAAAUCAAUCUCCAACACUACUGAUCAUGAACACGCCCACCUGUGCAGCCUUCUUGCUGCAGCUUACGCGAGUCUUCCCUUUCUUUCAAAUACCACUGCAUCCCUUGCAAGUCUCUCAUCAUGAUUUCACCAACCUGAAACCACCACGUGCUUUGAGAUCAUCCUCUGUGAACGUUUCUUCCUCUGUCUCUGACGCCGUUGUUGCCUACCACAACCGAACGCCAUCUGCUUUCUCUGACGCUAACUGUUCAACGUCAUCUUUGGUUUGUCACACUUAAUGCGAUCGUGACUACAAAUCUACUGAUUCUUCUUCUCCAGAAUUUCCAACUGAUGUCGAUGCUAACUUGAAGCUCCUGCAGAACCUGAAUCACCACUGCCUGAAACCAGAAGCCCUUUGACUCAAUCCAUAUCCAACCUCAGUAGCCCGUAGACACCAAACUCAUCAUCCUGAGAAUUUCCUUUGUAAUAAUCUGAAUGAACACCUUGCCUUGAACAUCACUCUGAACCGCNNNNNNNNNNNNNNNNNNNNNNNNNNNNNNNNNNNNNNNNNNNNNNNNNNNNNNCUGAACCGCUGCUGUUGCCAACAGAUCCCGCCGCGUAGCACAACUUGCUAAGAAGACUUUCGACGCAAAGAAUCUCUGCUCAACUUAUGCUCAAACAAAUCAUUACCUCUGCAACCGUGACACCCUGUAGACAUAUUUGUUUUCCCCUCAUAUGCCCUGAGAAGCCAAAACAAACUACUACUGAAUCUCAUGCAGAAAAUCCGGAACAUACAUGUUUCCAUCCUGAAUCAAUCUCGAUUUGACACCGCCACCUGUUUAGCCGAACUCUGCCUUGAACAAGUAACUCCUCGUUCUCGCAGAUCCAUUCCAGCAGAAAACGAUAUGUUACGCCAAACACAUAUCUGCUUAGAAAAACCACACUGCAUUCCCUCUGAAAAUAGCAGCCUUGUAGUAUCUUGUUCUCUGAACAUCUACCCAAUUGUAGACUCUCAUAAUCACACAUAGACAAAUCUGCAUGAGUCGAUCUCCUUCAACCCUUCUGCAACACCCUUCACGCUGACUAAAGAAUACCAUCUGAAACAGCCAUGAAACACUCAUAUCAUUCAAGGUUCUAAGGCGUCCCCUAGUUCCAAGAAUUCCAUGAGAUACCGAGCUGAAAUACCCACAUAGAUUAGAACACCACCUGUGACUGGUAUACCAUGUAGAUUCAAUCCAAGAACACCGUGAAAACCCUCACUGAAUCUUCAGACAAUCCCAUAGGAAAACCAGUGCGAAAACCCCUUGUGCUCCACUAUGCUUUCAGUUCCAAUAACUUGCAGAACAUGAAGAAACCCAAGACUCCAAUGCAUAUAGUCACACACGCCUUAUGACUGCAGAUCGAGGACAGCUCUGAAACCUUUCUUUCUUAUGCUAGCAGCCUGCCACCAUCUUAUCUUGUGAGUAACCCGAAGUCCUUCUCACACAGUAGCAGAUUCUUGCACCCUGGAGAACUCUAGAGAAACCCUGAUUUCAUAAUUAGAAAUCAUCUCAACCGAUUCAACUGACUCGUGAAUCCUUCCUCCAUAAACUUGUGCAGCUGCAGCAAAGAACGUCCAACAGUUUUUCUUCUUUUUCUCUUGUAAACCAAAAAUCUCUUUAACCUGAUCUUGUAACUCGGUUUAUCCUCUGAUUUUUAACAUAAUCAGAAUUCCACGUGUGUAGAACCACGUGACCACCAGCUUCCAUUAAACCUUGCGAGUUUCUUCUGUCUCGCUUGGAAGCUUCUUCAUAUGUCUCUCCUCCUCGAGACGUGGACUCCAUGAAUCAAUGAGCCUAUGCUCUGAUACCACUUGUGGGGUAUUCAUAUGCUCUGAUACCACUUGUGGGGGUUAUGAUACCCACUUGUUGCGGAAUACAAGCUCAUAAUACCUCUGUCCCUUUCACUACUCAAACGAUUCAUCCUUGUUCAUGACUCAAGAAUUGUUCACCCAUUUCACGGCCGCAGCGCGCUACAUUUGGGGCGGAUCCAGGAUCCACAACAUCCACUAUGGAGUAUCGGAAAACACCUCCGAUGUGGUUUACAAGAUCAUUACUCUCUCUGUCCUGGGUAUACAAACCCUAGAGAGUAUAAAGAUAUUACAAGAGAAGUACAUGGCUAAGAGCUAAGCCUAGGAUUACAUAUCUAUCACUAGCUUACUCUAUCUCUCCAAGAGACCCCAUGGAAGCUCUCACCUCCUAGAGGCUCAGCUUGAGCUUGGAGAUCCCUGUCGUGAUCUUUCCUUAUUUGUAUCAGUACUUGACCUAAUGGGCUUCAACGAUUAGGUCCAUAUGUUCUCCGCGCGUAACUUGUGCAAGCCGGCCCAACAUUGAACAUGUCUGAUGGACUUUGACCAAACCUCACAAUUACAAGUCUAGUUUCCUACGUUGAGUGGUUCACAUUCAUGCAACGUGAAUCAAGAUUAGUCAUUAAAUCAGUCAUGAACUAGUAAUGCAUGCCUAGUAUAUUUCAUAUCUUAUAAACUAAUUUAAUAAUUGUUAGUAUCUUCAAUGUCCAAAACUUAGACCAUUUCCGAUGGUUUCCAUCAUUUUUUCUUACAAAAUGAAAUAAAUUUAAAAUGAGUUUGUGAUUUGCUCCAGUGGUUUUUUUCAUUUUCUCUCUCAAUUCUUGUUAAAUGUUGUAUUAAGUUUGUUGUGUUUUUCUUAACUUUGUAUUAGUUAUGUAUCUUAAUGGUAUUGUUUUCUAUUUUAUUUUCUUUUAAUUAUAUAUUAUAAUCUAUAAAAUUAUAAAUUAUAUUUUAAUAAUUAAUUAUUGGUAAUUAUAUUUUAAGAAGUUUAACCAGUAUAUACAUAAUUGAUAUAAAGUUAUGAAAGUUAUGUUUAGUGUUAAUGUUUUUUAUGCAUAAAAUAAAGAUUGUCAAAUAGUAAAUGACCAUUAUAUAAAUAAAAAAACUUAACAUCAAAAUGAGAUUUUUAAUAAUAUUCCCUCAAAUUUGAAAGAAUACCGUUCAUAUACUCAUUUUUUUUUUCUCAAAAUGAUGUAACAUUGGAAAUAGAUUUCCUUCAUUUUUGUAUGUUCUCCCUUAUUUUGAUGCACUAUUGGAGAUGCCCUUUCCGAAUAAAAAUAGUCAUAAGACACUAGCCAGCUAACAUAGUCGUCACCAAUUUUUACUUUUCAUUAAAUAUUCAAGUCUCAUGAGAAAUUACUUAUAAAACAGACUGCAUGCCGUUUUCGCUAAACAGAGAUCUUAUGAUAAACGGCAUUACAAUAUCUGUGGCUUUCUUCUUACUCAAGUUUGACAUAAUUGACCACCUAUGUCUAUCUAAUCGCCACGGGACUCGCCACUACGUGUUUUCCAUCUGACCAUUCGAUGCUCCCGAAGCUGUUAGACCUUGGCGCCUUAGAUGAGACAACGGUAAACGUCACCGAAUACGAUUUCUUCUCGUUCACUUCUUUGAAAUUCAAAACCGGCGGUUCAACCGAAAUCUUGACUGCCGUUGUCUCCGACGUUACUUUAACCGAGUAUGACCCAGCUCCUCCCACGUUUGUGACAGUGCGGGUGUACUUGUACGUGCCGGAUCCUUUGACGUUAACGGCGAACGACGGAUAGUUUAGAUCAGCGGCGGGGUGCGUUUUUCUUGGACAAGCGUAAUUGCCUCUCGAUAUGAUUGUGAUCAGCGACGAAUUGUAAUUCGAUGCGCAGAUGAAAUCUAUAUAAUCCUCCGUUGUUAGAUCGUAGAUGAGUCCUGGAUUAACGGCCGUCGUGGGCGACACGUGCUCGAACGGUGUUGAAGGUUUUCCCGUCGCGACGUCGAGGAUCGGUUUUCCGUCUUUGUAAGUAUUGUAAGCGGUGGUCAUGAGAGCCGAUCGAAUCGCCGCCGGGCUCCAUUCCAGAUGCACAGACAUGAGAAGAGCCGCCAAACCGCUCACGUGAGGGCAAGACAUGGACGCUCCUGACUUGAUGUUGAAUUCCACGCGGCGAGUAUCGUAUUAGGUCCCCGCGAGCUCCGGUCCAUGCGGCGAGGAUAUUGACUCCCGGAGCUAUCAAAUCCAGUUUGAGAAUGUUUGGCAUUAUCGUUUUAGGUCCCCGCGAGCUAAACGUCGCAACCAUCGGAGAUGGCCGGACGUUCACGACUGUUCCUCUGAUCAAAAUGGAAGUGGUGGGAUUCGGAUCGGUCAAGACGUAGCGACGGAUAAUGUCGCUUGAGGCGCCGGUUUCGAGGAAUAGGCCUGCGUUUUGUCCGUCGAGACCAAGGAAUAGUGGAGUUCGAGUGGUGUGUAACUCGUACUUCUGCUCUUGUUGAACCGAGAUGACACCAGGUUGGGUCAUGAGUGAGUCGGCUUCUUCGGGAGUAAGCCGAGUGGCGAAUCCACAAUAACACUCGAAGAAGAAUGCGGAAAUGAGCCGGAAACGCGAACCCAUUCCGAUUGUUGUUCAAAACAUGUGAAAUAAUAACUAUAAGUAAAGAAAAUCGAAAAAAUAAAUGCUUGAGUAACAAUCAAAGGAUCACCCCACCUUCAUUACGCCGCAAGCUCCCAUAUGUCCAAGGGAAAAGGAAGAAACAAAGACAUUUCAAAAUGAAUUUAGAAAUCUAUAUAAUUGCGUUUGUUAAGUAAACAAAUAUAUCUGUUGGACGAGAUGGUUAUGUAGUAUGCACAUAGUGUUUAAGGUUCAAGGUUCAAACCCUGUUUUCAACCAAAAAAAUUCAUUAAAAAAUUAGUACCAAAACGACGUAGUAUUGAAAAAUAUUAAAACUAUACACAGUCAAUUAUACAUAUAUACGGCCGAGGAUUAUAUUGCGGUUUGACUGGUACUUGGAGGGUUGACCCGUGGAUUUUUGAGUUCGCACAUUAAUUUGCAAAAAAAAAACUACAUUGAGGUUUUUUUUUUUUGCAGAAAACCCUAAUGAUUACUAUACUAGAUAAACUGGCUGUGAUUUGUUUGAGACUAUAAAGAUGGUUUAUAGGUGACUGUGAAGUGUGAACACAAGUUUACCCUCUGGAAUCUAGCCAGAAAAGUUUUACCUUAUAAGAACUUGAAUUAGAUUUGAAGUGUACGAGUAUUUGAAAGGAAAAUGAUCAAUAAGAUUUGAAGUGUACUCAUCGCUUGGUUUGUUUCCCCGAAAUUUUAUAUGAUAAGAGAAGCAAAUGAGUGUGAGCUAUCCAUCGGUUAAUCCGGAAGAUCCUCCUCCAAGGGAUGCCAUCUUACUCUCGGCUUUCUGGUAUGAAUCUCCACUGCAAAUUCUCUAGGCUAAUAACAUGAAUGCUUUGGUGUUUUAAAAUCAGGGUUCAGGGUUUAAGAAAAUUGCAAGUCCAUUAAUAUACUUAAGGCUCAUCACAAGACAAAAGCGAAGUAACGAACUACUUUCCAAACAUAUAUCAUAUAUAUCUCAAUGGGGUUUUGAGGGUUGGAUCCAAAUAAUGUGAGUGGCAACUAGAGACUUUGGUUGUAUGGUACGACAUGAAUAUCAGAUCAGACUAACUAAAAUCACAUAAAAAUAGCUAACAUUACAAUGAUACAUUUUCAGAUUUUCUUUUUACUUUAGUUUAUCUAUAUAUAUAUAUAUAAAGCAGAAUAUCCUCUUCUUUGGUGAAGCCACGUCAACAAAUAGAUGAAGGAAAGAACGCCACGUGUCUUUCGCCUGAAUCUUAUGGGCUAUCACGUUUUUAUUGUUGGGCUUUCCAAUUAAGUUAUCAAUAAUAAAAAGCCUACUCCUCUCUCCUGAACGCAGUCGAUAUAUCUGUCUUCUUGGAAAUCACAUUUUAUUACUACGAAGUGGAGAGAUGUAGAUAUAUUAGUGUUCAAAUUUUAAAAAUCUUUGGACCAAUCAGUUUGAGUUUGGUUCCCUGACCAGUCUUGGAUUGUUACUGCAGAGGUUGUUACUUUGAACAAGGAGCAACAAUGACAAUGAAGAUUAACAUAGAUAUUCUUAUCGACGAGCCAUGAAGAUUAUUGUGAAACGAAGAGAGAUGAGGUUGAUUCAAAGAAAGCACAGGACUUCUUUUGCACAUUCAUUCAAGUUUGUCGACAUAUUUAGAAGAACAAAAGAAACUUUAAUCAAGUAACUUAUAUAUUUAUCUAAAUACAGUAUUAAUUGUGGUUCUUACAAUCAGGAGGAGAUUGGAGAACCAGAGGAACAUGUCAUACGGAGUCACUGCUUUAUUUUGGAAAAAUAAAAAUUGUAGCAACAUCAAAAGCUGGCAGGUUGGUCCAUUGUAUUGGUCCCUGAGUGAUAGAUAAUGCCACGGUGGGUUUUUUACUCUUGUUCACGUCCUUAUUUUUUAUUAAAUUUUUGAAAAUAAAAUUCUAUAUCAGGGUUGUAGUUGGACCUUGAUUAAAUUUGAGUUGAGUGCCACUAUUCAUGAAUUUUAUCUUUUUCUUUUAUUUUGGAUUUUCCUCUGCAAAUUUGUGUAAUGGAAAUAGGUGAAAUUGCUUUUAACAAAAGCCAUACAUUUUGUUAUUUCAAUUCAAAAAAAUCUUAUAUAUUAAAACAAAAGUCACAACCUUGAUUCAUGUGUAAUUUUUUUUUUUAAAUGGAUCCUCAAUAGAAAUCAGUUAUAACACGGUUUAAUAAUAUAUCGCAACUAAUAUAACUCCUACAAAAUAUGGUAAACUUUUUUUUUUUUUUUUUGAAACACAUUUAUAUUAAAAGAUCAAACCAAAGUAGUUGUAGCCACUAAUGCCAGUUCAGCAGACAAGACCUGCUUUGCUAAUCAGCCUCAGCAUUUUUCAUACGAGAAAUCCAAUGAAAAGAGACACAUUCAAAUGAGGAGGCUAAAGAGAGGAUAUCUGUUAAGAUCCCAUAGAGAUCAAUAAUCGAUGAUUUCGUCUUGAGAGCUUUGAUCAAUAUGGCUGAGUCCGACUCGCACCGAAUCCUUGAUAGUCCUAGCUCUCUGCACUUUCCUAAAGAUUCCCGGAGGGCCAAAGCUUCGGCGACCAACGGUGAUCUCACAUGGUGAGCGGGAAUAGAGUAAUGGGAGACUCUGCUUUGUGAUUCCACUGUCCAUCCAAGACCUGCAAUCUUUUGGUCUUCAUUCCAAGCAGCAUCAGUUUUGGUGAGAAAACAGUUUGGUGGUGUAGGGCCUGGGGGGUUCAGCUUGUGGUUUGUCGGAGGUGGUGUCACUUGACAAGAUCCCCAUUCACGAGCCAGUGCAAUGGCUUUGGAGAGCGUUUCAUCUGCUGGUUGAGGUUUCCCAUUGAACACCAGGUUGUUUCUUGCAGUCCAGAUACUCCAUAAUAUCCAGGGAGCAAGCUGGCCUUCUGUUACUCCCGUAGGCGGUAGAUUCUUCCUCGUCGUCAGAUCACACCAUAGGCUUCUCAGAACUAUAGAUUCAUUGUACUCAGUACUUGGGAAAACAGAGACAGAUAACCAAACCUGUUUCGCAAAAGUACAGUGAAAGAACAAGUGAUGUAUAGUUUCUGGUAGGUUCCAUCACAUUUCACUUCCCACAAAAUAUGGUAAACAUGACCAAUUUUUAAUCCUUAUUAAAUGUAAAAUCAAUUUAUACAUAGCCAUGAUGUAAACCAUUAUCAAACCAGUCUGUGGACCAAUACAUUAUCCUAUUGUUAUUAUUCUGAAUAUGCAAUGUAAAUCAAAUUUCGACCAACCCCUUAAAUUAACGACGAACACUAUACCAAAUGGGUUUAAUUAAUCACCAUAUGUAUAUUGCGUUUAUAAAACAAAUUAUAUACAUCAAAUCUGAAUUACAGACUAACUAACUGCACCGUAAUAUUUUACAUGCACAAUAUAUUUUAGUGUUAAAAAUUUGAUGUUUUUAACAGUAUCCCAAUUUUUUUUUAUCUAUUACCAAUUUGAUUUAGUUUUUAAGAGUAGGUCCAAUUUGAUUUAAAUUUUAUAUAUAUUUCAAAUUUAUAAAUAAAAAAUAUGUAAAAUAGUACUGUUACAUAAUUAUGUUUUCAAAACAAAAUUUUUUUUACAAGAAUACAAAAGUUGAAUUUUUUUAUAAUAAUAAUAUCAUAAAUCACAUAAACACAUGUAUAAUAGAGUUAGAUAAUACAUAAUACUAAACUAUAUUAAUUUAUUGAUAAAUUUUGUUUUGUAAACUAAAAUGAUUUAUGUUAUUAGAUUAAUAUGUUUAAACUCAUUGCAGUCACAUUGUUAUGAAACACUGGAGGUAAUUGAUUAGUGAUAGUUUUCUACUUAGAGUGGUUCACAAUCAUGUAAAUAGGUGAAAUUGCUUUUAACAAAAGCCAUACUUUUUUACAUUUCAUUAAAUAUUCAAGCCUCGUGAUAAAAAUUACGUACAAAACAGACUGCAUGCUGUUUUCGCUAAACAGAGCUCUUAUGAAAAACGACAUUACAAUAUAUGUGACUUUAUUCUUUCUCAAGGUAGUCGUAACUGACUACUAUGUCCAGCUAAUUGCCACUGGACUGACCACCACAUGUUUCCCAUCUGACCACUCAAUGCUCCCGAAGCUGUUAGACCCAGACGGCUUAGACGAGUCAACUGUAAACGUUACCUCAUAAGAUUUCUUCUCGUUUACUUCUUUAAAAUUCAAAACCGCCGGUUCAACCGAAAUCUUAGCGGCUGUUGUCUCCGUCGUUACUUUAACCGAGUAUGACCCAGCUCCUCCAACGUUUGUGACCGUGCGUGUGUACUUGUACGUGUCAGACCCGUCGACGUUAACAGCAAACGACGGAUAGUUUAGAUCAGCGACGGAGU